AUCAGCUGAUAUCUCAAGGUGCUGUACAGAAACCCAGCCUAAAACCCCAAACAGCAAGCAAUGCAGGUGUAGAAGCACGGUGGCUAGGAAAAACUCCCUAGAAAGGCCAAAACCUAGGAAGAAACCUAGAGAGGAACCAGGCUAUGUGGGGUGGCCAGUCCUCUUCUGGCUGUGCCGGGUGGAGAUUAUAACAGAACAUGGCCAAGAUGUUCAAAUGUUCAUAAAUGACCAGCAUGGUCGAAUAAUAAUAAGGCAGAACAGUUGAAACUGGAGCAGCAGCACAGUCAGGUGGAAGUUGAAACUGGAGCAGCAGCAUGGCCAGGUGGACUGGGGACAGCAAGGAGUCAUCAUGUCAGGUAGUCCUGGAGCUCAGGUCCUAGGGCUCAGGUCCUCCGAGAGAGAGAAAGAAAGAGAGAAGGAGAGAAU
This is a long non-coding RNA of Oncorhynchus tshawytscha (Chinook salmon), 426 nucleotides long. Lineage: Eukaryota; Metazoa; Chordata; Actinopteri; Salmoniformes; Salmonidae. The record is from Ensembl.